RNAcentral lists this transfer RNA (72 nucleotides) under Myotis lucifugus (little brown bat). It matches the Rfam family "tRNA". Rfam says of the family: Transfer RNA (tRNA) molecules are approximately 80 nucleotides in length. Their secondary structure includes four short double-helical elements and three loops (D, anti-codon, and T loops). The record is from Rfam by way of RNAcentral. Lineage: Eukaryota; Metazoa; Chordata; Mammalia; Chiroptera; Vespertilionidae.
GCCGGUGUGGCUCAGUGGUUGAGCAUUAACUUAUGAACCAGGAAGUCAUGGGUUCAAUCCCCAUUAUGGGCG